AUGGAUCUUUCCAUGGCUACCGGCCCGGAAGACUCCCUCCUCCUGCUCCUCCUCCCGGCUACCACCCUGCUCCCACCCCUGCUCGCCGUGCUCCUCCUCGCCGCCUCACUCCUGUGGCUCUCACCGGGCGGUCCGGCGUGGGCCUUGUCCCUCUGCCUUCGCCCGCCGCCAGGCCCACCAGGCGUGGUCACCGCGCUCUCCAGCCCCGUGGCGCACCGCGUCAUGGCGGCGCUGUCCCGCUCUGUCCAUGGCGGCGCGGCAUUGAUGUCCUUCUCCGUCGGCCUAACCCGCGUCGUCGUGUCGAGCCGGCAAGAUACAGCGCGUGAGAUACUCGUCAACCCGGCGUUCGGCGACCGCCCCGUGAAGGACGCGGCGCGCCACCUCCUCUUCCACCGCGCAAUGGGCUUCGCCCCGUCGGGCGACACCCAUUGGCGUGCCCUCCGCCGUCUCGCCGCGGCGCACCUCUUCGGCCCGCGCCGCGUGGCGGCCUCCGCACCCCACCGCUCCUCUAUUGGGGCGCGCAUGCUCGGCGACGUCGCCUCCCUCAUGGCCCGCCACGGCGAAGUCGCCCCUCGGCGGUUCCUGCACGCGGCGUCCCUAAACCACGUCAUGGCCGUCGUCUUCGGCAAGCGCUACGACGAUUUCACAAGCCAAGAAGGUGCCCUCGUGGAGGAGAUGGUAAACGAAGGGUACGACCUCCUCGGCACGUUCAACUGGGCAGAUCACCUGCCAUUCCUCAAGUGGCUCGACCUCCAGGGCGUGCGCCGCCGGUGCAACAGGUUAGUCCGGCAGGUGGAGGCGUAUGUGGGUAACAUCAUUCAGGAGCACAAGGCGAGGCGCGCCAGCGGAUCAGGCAUUGCGGAUGAGCUCUCCGGCGACUUCGUCGAUGUGCUCCUCGGCCUCGACGGAGAAGACAAGAUGUCAGAGUCCGACAUGAUCGCCGUUCUUUGGGAGAUGAUCUUUAGAGGGACGGACACGGUGGCGAUCUUGAUGGAGUGGAUCAUGGCGAGGAUGGUGCUGCACCCGGAGAUCCAGUCGAAGGCCCGGGUGGAGCUGGACGCCGUGGUGGGCCGGGGCAGGGCCGUGACGGACGAGGACGUGGCGAGGCUCCCCUACAUCCAGUGCAUCGUCAAGGAGACGCUGCGCAUGCACCCGCCGGGCCCGCUCCUCUCGUGGGCGCGGCUGGCUGUGCACGACGCACACGUCGGCGCCCACCUCGUCCCGGCCGGCACGACGGCGAUGGUGAACAUGUGGGCCAUCGCGCACGACGCGGCGGUGUGGCCCGAGCCGGAGCAGUUCCGGCCGGAGCGGUUCAUGGAGGAGGAGGUGAGCGUGCGGGGCAGCGACCUCCGCCUGGCCCCGUUCGGCGCCGGGCGGCGCGUGUGCCCCGGCAAGAUGCUGGCCCUCGCCACCGUCCACCUCUGGCUCGCCCAGCUGCUGCACCGGUUCGAGUGGGCGCCCUCGGGGAGCGUCGACCUGUCAGAGCACCUCAAGAUGUCACUGGAGAUGGCCACGCCGCUGGUCUGCAGGGCCGUGGCUCGCUAG
RNAcentral lists this ribosomal RNA (1545 nucleotides) under Triticum aestivum (bread wheat). RNAcentral's name for it is "partial small subunit ribosomal RNA". Lineage: Eukaryota; Viridiplantae; Streptophyta; Magnoliopsida; Poales; Poaceae. The record is from RNAcentral.